This 400-nucleotide long non-coding RNA is filed under the name Homo sapiens (human). RNAcentral's name for it is "non-protein coding lnc-GEMIN2-9:1". Lineage: Eukaryota; Metazoa; Chordata; Mammalia; Primates; Hominidae. The record is from RNAcentral.
AUGGAGAAGCCUGCAGGCAGAAAAAAGAAGACGCUGACCCAGAGGGAGAAAGCCGAUGCGCAGAAGAGCGUGCCCAGAGAGGAGAAGGCCUCCGGGGACAGAAAGCCACCUGAGAGGCCCACUGUGCCCAGGAAGCCCUGCACAGAGCCCCACCUGAGUCCUGAAGAAGAGCACAUCUUUGAUGCCUUCCACGCUUCAUUUAAAAAUGCCUUUGAGGGGGUUCCCGUGUUCAUUCCUUUUCAGAGGAAGAAACCCUAAGAGUGCAGUUAAUGGAGGUGGAUCUUUAAGCAUAAGACAGACCACAUUCGCCAUCAGAGGGUCCACACCGGACAGAAGCCCUUCAAGUGUUAGCAGUGAGGGAAGGCCUUUCGGCACAGCUUUGAUGUCACCAAACACCAGA